UGAGCCCAUGUGUCCACCACUUGCUCACUGGUGGGCAAUACUGGUCUCUGGGACAGGCUGCCUGCUGCCUGGCUGUGCUCAAUUGCCUCAUAUACUCUAGCGUGGAAGGCAGACCCCUGUGCUAACAGGCUAGAGAAAGGAGUCCAAUGGCACCUACCGGCAUCUGCAUCAACACAACUGAAAAAGGUCACAAUAAUGGCGGCCAGCAGUGUCUCAGUCCUUAGGGGGUGGGCCCAGCCACCUCCUGCCUCCCCAAGAUGUGCUCCGAACUUAGCUUUAAAUGAAGCAAGAAAAUAGUCAAGGAAACCUCUAGUGAACAAAGACUUUGAGAGAAAGACAUGCUCAAGUCCCACCUCUCACCAAGAAAGAGAGAAUGGCAACAAAAGCCCUAAAUGUGGAGCUUAAAAGAGACUAGACUACAUGAGGAAGAGGAUGGGUGUCUUGGACAACUCCUGUGCCCUGCCUCACCAUGCUCUGAGUCCCACCCAGUACUUCAACCUCUGCUUGCAGUGAGGUGACCACCUCCAGGCAGCCCUCCACCAGUUGUGGCAGAUGCACCCCAACAGUGCCUUUCCUUGGGACACGUGCCAACCGCUCACUGCUUUGAGACUUCUCUGACACACUGAGUGUGGGACAUUCUUGGGAUCCUGAAAAGCAUUCAGAAGUGCUAGGCAGCUAAUAUCUGAAGAGUCUACCUUGUCCAAAUGCAGGUGGGAACUGACAGAUGAAUGCUUUUGUCUUUUAUCCCCUAGGCAAACAGCUCUGACACAUUUUGUAAGGCCCCCAGAGUGUGCCAUGGGCUUGAGUGCCAGUCACCUGUUGGUGGCCAACUUGACAACGCAUCCUGGAAUAAGCAUUCAGAUCUUCCCUUUUUCACUUGUCCUGUUUUGUGCUCCUGUUCCUUAGGAUCAGAUGCUCCUUAAAAUUCCUGACAAUCAAGUCUUUGCCUCAUGCUCUGCUUUCAGGACUGAAACUAAAACAGGAGAGACUUAGCGGAAGAAAGAAGGAAAAAAGCAGGAGGAGUGACCACAUACUGUCCCCCAAACAGUAGACAGUUAAUUGAUUCACAUUCUAAAUCAAGACUAUGAGUAACUUAGAGAAAGUAAGAGUUUUAUGGAAAGCUGGGAUUUUUUUUUUUUGAGUUACUACUUGACUCAGAACACAGUUCCCAAAUGCCUCGUUCUCCAGGGUUUCAAAUGUGGUGUCUGAAUGGAGAGCUAGAAAAUAUAUUUCCUUCCAAUCCCAGGACACUAGCUCUUUGUCAUUAUUACAUACUUUAUGGACUUUUAUUAACUUACAACAGAAACCAUAGGAAAACCAUUAUCUUCAACCUAUAAGGCAAUGAUUCUAAGUGACAGUAAUAAUAUUUUCUUAUUUUAUUUCUAUUCAACAGUAUGUGCGUGUGUGUGUGUGUGUGUGUGUGUAUGAAAGAGAUUUUG
Diceros bicornis minor is the source of this 1439-nucleotide long non-coding RNA. RefSeq lists it as uncharacterized. The transcript has 3 exons. The record is from RefSeq and is a predicted model, not a curated record. Lineage: Eukaryota; Metazoa; Chordata; Mammalia; Perissodactyla; Rhinocerotidae.